AGAGUUGUUAUUCAAAUUUACUUCUUUUUUUUUUUUUGAGAGAGACAGGUAGCAUUCUAUCGGUUUCGUUUGUUUCAUUUAAAAAUAAAUUUAGCUGAAAAUGUGAAUCAAAUAGGAUUCAAACUUGGGUCUCGGAUACCAACCAUCAAGUCCUUUGCCACUUGCUCUAAGGACGGUCGGUUUCAAAUUUACAUUUACCGUAAUUUUUUUGUUAAGAAUUUGAUUUCAAAUUUAGAGUUAUAAUGAU
RNAcentral lists this long non-coding RNA (247 nucleotides) under Ananas comosus (pineapple). RNAcentral's name for it is "long non-coding RNA (ACOM_LNC039708)". The record is from RNAcentral. Lineage: Eukaryota; Viridiplantae; Streptophyta; Magnoliopsida; Poales; Bromeliaceae.